CAUGCACGUGUAGCCCCUCUUUGGUGCCACAUAAGUAAAAAGGGAUUAACCCCUUUAAAGUAUGGCAUUAAUAGCUAUACCUACAGUAGUGAUCGAUAGGAGAGAUUUUGUUGUAACUUUGUGGCGAAAGCAAAUUGUUUAUAUUAGCCAAUAGUUCUUGUGAGUGAGUCUUGCCAGAGGUUCCACCUUUUAACCUAUAGGGCCUAUAGGGUGAAACUUCUCGGAACUUCUUGGACUGCUCCAUAUUAAUUGCUAUAGGGGUAGAAAGCUUUUGAGAUAAAAGUAUAUUUCAUAUUUGUAUGUUAUCUGUUAAUUCUAGUUGUUAUCACUUUGCAUGACUUUGCUUAGGAUAUAUAUUCAAUGUCUUAUAUUGCUGUAUAAAUGACUCACGGAUCAACAGCCACAACCAACUAUUACUAUUCAGACCCCUUUCCUAUAAUAAUGGUAUAUUCGAUAUACCAACAUCCAAGAUUUUCUUGAGGCAUCUUCCUUCUUUCACUAUUACGAAGAUGGAGAGGAAGCACCCUCGAAACAUCAGUCUUCAAUAACUUCUGUUUUUCCCUGCCCUUUCAGAUCAGGCUAAAGGUCGUCACCUCAUGACACCCCUGUCAACCUGAGACCCUCUGUAAUUUGUCAAACUUAGUUUUGUUUUAAGCCAUAGAGAUAAUAUCUCAACUUAUUGCCAUGAAGUUAAUGUAAUGUAACCAGGAGUUACAGAUUCUUGUAAAUAUAUUGUAAAUAUGCUUUGUAUUACUCAAUAAUAAAGGAACUUAUACAUUUCCUUUA
Long non-coding RNA from Strongylocentrotus purpuratus (purple sea urchin), 786 nucleotides. RefSeq lists it as uncharacterized. The record is from RefSeq and is a predicted model, not a curated record. NCBI's taxonomy places the organism in Eukaryota, Metazoa, Echinodermata, Echinoidea, Camarodonta, Strongylocentrotidae. The transcript is spliced from 2 exons.